UUUAGUUAUUUUUCAGUUUUUUAAGCGCUUUUGAAAAGUGCUUUUUAAAUAAGCUGUUUUUGUUUUCUGCAGAUUACAGGUUUGAAGAGACUUGAUGGAAUGGAAGGUGGUUGCUCCAAGCUUCAAGACAACCUUGUUUUCGUGCCUAAGUCCAAAGGGAUUAAUCAGUCCACUGAUUUUGGUCUUGGUCAUUAGAAUUAGGAACCUGUUUCCAUCUGUAGCAAUUUUUUCACUGUAAUUACUUAGUUUAGUUUUUU
This 257-nucleotide long non-coding RNA is filed under the name Lathyrus oleraceus (garden pea). Its description in RNAcentral is "Pisum sativum (pea) long non-coding RNA (PSAT_LNC041251)". Lineage: Eukaryota; Viridiplantae; Streptophyta; Magnoliopsida; Fabales; Fabaceae. The record is from RNAcentral.